RNAcentral lists this ribosomal RNA (200 nucleotides) under uncultured bacterium. RNAcentral's name for it is "partial 16S ribosomal RNA". It matches the Rfam family "Bacterial small subunit ribosomal RNA", at positions 524 to 723 of the family's 1533-position model. The record is from RNAcentral.
UACGGAAGGUCCGGGCGUUAUCCGGAUUUAUUGGGUUUAAAGGGAGCGCAGGCGGCCUUUUAAGCCAGCUGUGAAAUACGGCGGCCCAACCGUCGGAUUGCAGUUGGAACUGGUAGGCUUGAGUGCGGACAGGGAAGCGGGAACUCACGGUGUAGCGGUGAAAUGCGCAGAUAUCGUGAAGAACUCCGAUGGCGAAGGCA